GACGAACGCUGGCGGCGUGCCUAAUACAUGCAAGUCGAGCGGACUUUCAAGAAGCUUGCUUUUUGAAAGUUAGCGGCGGACGGGUGAGUAACACGUGGGCAACCUGCCUGCAAGACGGGGAUAACUCCGGGAAACCGGGGCUAAUACCGGAUAAUAUCUUCCUCCGCAUGAAGGAAGGUUGAAAGGCGGCGCAAGCUGCCGCUUGCAGAUGGGCCCGCGGCGCAUUAGCUAGUUGGUGAGGUAACGGCUCACCAAGGCGACGAUGCGUAGCCGACCUGAGAGGGUGAUCGGCCACACUGGGACUGAGACACGGCCCAGACUCCUACGGGAGGCAGCAGUAGGGAAGCUUCCGCAAUGGACGAAAGUCUGACGGAGCAACGCCGCGUGAGCGAAGAAGGUCUUCGGAUCGUAAAGCUCUGUUGUCAGGGAAGAACAAGUACCGUUCGAACAGGGCGGUACCUUGACGGUACCUGACCAGAAAGCCACGGCUAACUACGUG
Molecule: ribosomal RNA, 499 nt
Filed under: uncultured bacterium
Lineage: Bacteria
Description: partial 16S ribosomal RNA
Rfam family: Bacterial small subunit ribosomal RNA
Source: RNAcentral